GGACAACUUCUAACGCCAACUUCCUCUGAUAACAAGUACUGGUCACACUACCUGCAACUAUGGAAAACUACAGUUGAAUUUUUUCAGACCAAGUUUCGUUUUCUUUCAACUUUUAAUCCCGGAAGAAACGUUACAUAUAACCUGGCGCUGCGUCGCCUAGAUAUGGGGUAGAUCAACUUUGGCGUUAUCCUAACAUGCCCUCAUGUCAGACAGGUUUUGCAAAACUGGUUUUGUCUACAUGAUAAAGUCGUACAACAAGAUAUGUACUCAAAUGCGCAUAAACUGAGGAAGCGUGCAGGGAGCAACUCCUAACGUUACUGAAGUCCUGUUUUAUGGCCACACAUGGAAAUAUCAAUGGUGAGGCGUCGUCUGUCAUUAAAGAGGAGAUACUGUCUUCUGCUGUGCUUUGCUGUCGGACUGUUAAUCGCUUAUGAGCUCACAAGGAAUCGCCUUGAAGUAGGAAGAAUGAGCCGUGCGGAAGGUCUGAGGGCCAACUCGUCUCAGUUCACUCUGGAGGGAAAGCCCCUCCGCAUCCUGGGAGGCUCCAUCCAUUACUUCCGUGUCCCCAGGGCCUACUGGGAGGACCGACUGCUGAAGAUGAAGGCCUGUGGCCUGAAUACUCUCACGACAUAUGUGCCGUGGAACCUGCACGAGCCUGAGCGAGGGGUGUUCAACUUUGAGGAUCAGCUGGAUUUAGAAGCCUACCUGCGCCUUGCAGCCAGCUUGGGCCUCUGGGUGAUUCUGCGUCCAGGGCCGUACAUCUGUGCUGAGUGGGAUUUAGGGGGACUUCCAAGUUGGCUUCUACGGGACCGAAACAUGAAACUGAGAACAACCUACCCGGGAUUCACUGACGCAGUCAACUCCUUCUUUAAUCAGCUCAUUAAGAGAGUUGUUCCACAUCAGUACUCCAAGGGUGGCCCAAUUAUCGCGGUUCAAGUGGAAAAUGAAUAUGGCUCCUACGCUGAAGACGACUCGUACAUGCCCUUCAUCAAGGAGGCGUUACUGUCAAGGGGCAUCACCGAGCUGCUGCUGACCUCAGACAACAGGGAAGGACUAAAGCGUGGAGGAGUGAAAGGAGCACUAGAAACCAUCAAUUUCCAGAAACUGAACCCAAAUGACAUCAAGUAUCUGGAUGCAAUACAACCUCACAAGCCAAAGAUGGUGAUGGAGUACUGGUCUGGCUGGUUCGACAUUUGGGGGGACCUUCAUCAUGUGUACACAGCUGACGACAUGAUACCUGUGGUCAGAGAGAUCCUUAAACAGGACAUGUCCAUCAACCUCUACAUGUUCCACGGAGGGACAAAUUUUGGCUUCAUGAGCGGAGCGUUUGCAGUUGGAAUGCCGGCACCGAGACCUAUGGUGACAAGCUACGAUUACGAUGCUCCAUUAUCCGAGGCUGGGGAUUACACCACCAAGUACCAUCUUCUGAGGAAUUUAUUCAGCCACUACCACACGCAGCCUCUCCCUGAACUGCCCUCUCAUCAGGAGAGGAGAGCGUACCAGCCUGUUGUCAUCCAGCAGCACCUGUCUCUGUGGGACAGCCUGCAUUUCACUGACAAGCCACUGAAGGCAGAGAGGCCGGUGAACAUGGAGAACCUCCACGUCAACAAUAACAACGGCCAGUCUUACGGCUACACGCUGUACGAGACCGCCAUCACCAGCCAAGGAACCCUCAACUCGAAGAACAACGUCAGAGACAGAGCACUGGUUUUUGUGGACAAACAUUUUGUGGGUGUUCUGGAUUAUAAGACUCAAGAACUUCCACUCCCUGAUGGGAAGGGAAAAAGAACUCUAAGUUUGUUGGUGGAGAACUGUGGAAGAGUGAAUUAUGGGAAAACGCUGGACCAGCAGCACAAAGGUCUUGUUGGAGAUAUCGAGCUUAACAAGCGCCCCCUCCGCGACUUCAUUAUGCGCAGUCUGGAUAUGAAGCCAGGCUUUGUAAACAGACUUGAGAGUUCAGGCCACUGGAUGUCGAUGCGUCAGCGGCAGACCUUCCCAGGGUUUUUCCAGGGGAAACUCUAUGUGAACAGUUCUCCCAAAGACACCUUUAUCAAGCUCCCUGUGUUGGCGACAGCAGAGCCCGUCGGUGCAUCAAAUCACUGUGAUUGGCACUUCAGCUCAGUGCGCAAGAGAGAAACGGAAAUGAGAAAAGUCAAUAAAGGGCUAAAGUCAAGAGGAGGGCUGGAGCAAAGGUGUAGUGUUUAUUAACGGCAAGAAUCUGGGACGCUACUGGUCCAUUGGUCCCCAGCAAACUCUCUAUGUCCCCGGGCCCUGGCUUCACAGGGGGGAUAACCAGGUCAUAGUUUUUGAAGAGCAAGAAACAGAUGGCAAGAUUCAGUUCGCCAGCAGCCCGGACUAUGGUAUGAGUGUUGAUGUCCAGUGAGGACAGGAGGUGAGAGGGGAGUUUGGAGGAGAAGAGGAUGAUGAGGGAGUAAUUGGGGAAGACAUGACGGAGAUCGUUGUUGUGAGCUUCGCACAUCCGGGACCAGCAGCACUCAAAGCUAACGUGUCAGUGAAGGGGACUCCCUGAAAACUUGGCAUUUCACUCAUGUCCUUGGUCACACAGUGUUGUGUGCCUGAUGCGCGUUUUUGUCGGUCCACAUUGCGUUAUUUGGUCACUUUUUGAAUAACUCAUAGGUACAUAGGUACGUGGGUCCCGUCCGAAUGUGCCAUGUCAGUAAUCAUUACCAUACGAUGUCAGUAAAGAUAACCGCGACUUUUACCUUCUGUAAAACGGUCCCGGAAAAUUACCUCAGGUAAUACUAAUCCCGUGCGAAUAGACCAGCAGUAAAUAUGUGUGUAGAUAUUUCGUAAUAUCCUGUUUACAAGUGUUUUUUUUGCGGAUUUUCAAACAUGGAGACUCUUGAAGAAGCACUCAGUUUUGCACUCCCGAGGCACGGGACUUGUGAUUGCUUUAGGUAAGUUAAGUAUGCAAUGUAGCAGGGCUAUGUGGCUAAUAAAAAAUGACAAUAAAAUCAACCAGUAGGCUAAUCAGUUCAUAAUAAUUCGAUGUUGUAGGCUAUAUUAUUUUUUACUCACAGGAAGCAACGUCAUACGCACAUGACGACAGGAGGGGACGGCAGUGCAUGAAUGGAUUUACACCUCCCACUUGUGGUAGUUUUACUGAUAUUUCUUAUCCCGUGCGAAUUGGCCAUUAAUAUUACCGACGUCCUGAGGUAAAGUGACAUUACCCCACGUGCCCAUGUAAAACUAAUCCCGUCCGAAUAGUGCAUUUGUCUUAUACCGAACAUUAAACCCUCAGGAGACAUCAUGCUUAUCUGCAACUGCAAACAGAGAUGGUUAUUUAUGUUUUUGUGGACACACUUAGAUUUCUGCUUAUUUUACUCUUAUGCUGGCACGGCUGCAACUGCAACUAGACUUCCCUGCAUGACUUUUACCUGACUGCUGAUAAAUUCUCAAAUUGACCAUCAUAACAUUAUACUGGAAAAUACAUACAACUAAAUAGUGCGUAAAUACACUGUAAUUUAGAUGGACUAAAUUAUGUUGAACAAAAAAAAUCUACUCAGAUGGGGAGUCUGUAUUCUGAUAUCUUGUGUCAGUGUACCCCAAACUGGCUUACAAGGCUACCUAUUAAUUUCCAUGUUAUUUAAAAAGGUGUGAGACCACAUAUACAAUUAUAGGAAAACAUGAACGGUAUAUUCUGUAUGCCUUCUUACUCAUAGUGUGUAUUAUUCAGUCUAGUGUGCCUUAUUUUCCUCGCUCUUGAGAUAAAACUUGUCCAUACUUUGCCACUCCGUCCAACCAAAAUUAUUUAGGGUUUUUGUUCAUCGUUUUUACAAAGGUGCAGGUAGGUUAUCAUAUAAAGUAUAAAUAUCCACACAGAGCUUGUCGAAGCAUGCACUGCUGCGUCCUAUAAAACCACGCUCAUCUGUGUGAAAUACCAACCUGUUAGGGAGUCUCAGCCCAUCAGUGAAUAUGACAUUUUGUGGCCUGUCAGAAGACAACAACACAGCAUUUUUUUUUUAUUUAAUGACUGUAUUUUUCACAUUCUGUUAAAUCCUUGUUGUUCAAAUUAGUGACAUUAACAUUACCCUCUACUCAUAUACUUCAUUCCUGGAGACCAUAGUGCUGUGGUUGAUUUUAAUACAUUGUUAUAAAAUGUCUCCCUCUAUCCGACUUAAUUUAUAAAUUACAGGCUGUGUGAAAAGAGCUGUGAAUAAAGGCGGGUUUGACCUCUGUGUCAGUAGCCAAGGCCAAGGAAGCUUGUGAACUGUUUUAUUUAUCCUGCACACUGGGAGCCUGUUUGAUGCAGGCCAACACUGGUUGCUUUUCAAAUGUACCUUCUUAUGAUAUGCUUUGAGCCCCUGCAGAGAAGUCAAGAGCACAAGCUGUGCUUGAAGAGUUUUUUUUGAAAAAUCAUCUGUUGUUUGUUAUGCUAACCAUCCUGGAUACCGUCACGGUUAUUUUCUUUAAAGAGCGAUGCCACAGUGAAGCCGUGCUGUCACGUUUAGUGCAUUUUAAUUAAGUGGUAUUGUACAAGCCUGUAUGAAUAGGUAAUGUAAAAGCUGAUCGUUAGGUUUCCUGUGGUGCUGAAUCCUGAUCCCAUUUGCACCAGCUAUUCAUAUAAAGCUUAGCCUGUUUACGAAAGUAUAAGAUCUCAGUAGAGAUUUAUGUAUUACUUAAAACGUUUUUCACCACAGAAUAGUGCAUACAGUAGAAAUGAGCUGUAAAUACAUUUUGCUAUGUAGCUGAGCAACCAAAUAUUACAAAGUCUACAGUAACAAAUAAUGGUAGCUUAGCAUAUGUCCUGUUUAAAGCACAAAAGAAGCAAUGGUAUGUAAUCGACAUGUCUGACUUGACACCUGAUGAAACGCUGCCUAAUAAUGGUGUAAGAUUUAAAUAUUACAAAACAUAACACCAAUAAUGUUAGACUAAAUAACGCUGGGUUAUAUUAGCAUAAUUGAAUGUUUCUUACUUAUUGUAGACUGUAUAAAUACUAUCAACUCUGAAAUGUCUGUGUAUGCAUAUAUAAUCUAGAAAUGCUGCCUCGUGGUUGUAUGUCUCUGUGAAACAGUCAAGUUCCACUACAGUUUACAUCCAUGUCUGUGAAAACACGGAUGCAUCUCACACACCAUUCCUCCACCAGCGCAGAAGACCCAGGAUUAA
Molecule: RNA transcript, 5127 nt
Organism: Epinephelus moara (kelp grouper)
Lineage: Eukaryota; Metazoa; Chordata; Actinopteri; Perciformes; Serranidae
Gene name: beta-galactosidase-1-like protein 2
Exons: 21
Source: RefSeq, a predicted model, not a curated record